CAUUUAAAGCGUGCGCUCCCCGCGCCCUUCCGCCUGACGUAGCCCCGCCACUCUGGGAAAGUAACGGCCCCUUCCCCGGCGCCGCCCGCCCCUCGUCAACCCGGCUCCGGAAGGCAGGCCCCGCCCGCGGGGGUUCCGGAAGAAGCCGAGGCCUCGGAGCACGCGGCCGGCUCUAGCUGCGCCAGGGCAGGGACCUCGAUCGCCGGGACUGGGCGGGCGCUGUCCCCUCUGGGACCCCCAAGUCUGCACCAACAGAGGUGGCCGUGGGGCACAGGUCCCCCUCCCCCGCCCCCUGGUCCCAGAGGCACACACUCGAGGCGCUGGUUAUUCCGCCACCCAUUCUGCGCGGGGCGCAAGGCAGCUCCGAGCUCUCUUUGCAGCAUGGUGAGCCUGAGCGCCCAGCUCCCCAGAGCUGAGCUCGGAGGAAGGGGCGGGCUCCUUCUCUAGAUCCUUGCCACCCUCCUCCACAGGCAGACACACACACACACACACACACACACACACACACACACGCUCGCACUCACGAAUGCAAACACACUUCGAUUAUUCCAUUCUGGUUCUUCCCUUCCCUAGAUGUCUUCUUUAUGUUUGCCUCCUCACUCCCCUACCCAAGUCCCUCGGGCACCAGGCACCCCCAUUCAUGUUCUGAAGAGUGUCUUUUGGAUAUGGCACUAACAACAACAACAAUAAUAAUAAUAGCUACCAUCUGGAGAGCUUUACUCCAAGCCAACCAUGAGCUCUGUUUUACAUAUAUUAUCCUGUUUAAUCUUCACAGCAGUAGCCCUAUAAGGAAAGGCAUGGAAAUGAACAAGAAAGGUAGAAAAACCAAGGCACAGAGAAGCCGAGAAAACUUGCCCCAAGGCCCCACAGCAGGAAGAAGCAGGGCGGAGAUUCAAACCCCAGCAGCAUGGCUCCUGAGCCCUCACUCUAACCCACUACACUACAGUGGUUUGCCCUGAGAUGGACAAAGACAGAACCAGCCAUGUGACAAGCCGGAGUUUCACGCUUGUUACCCAGGCUGGAGUGCAAUGGCACGAUCUCGGCUCACCACAACCUCCGCCUCCUGGGUUCAGGCAAUUCUCCUGCCUCAGCCUGCUGAGUAGCUGAGAUUAUAGGCAUGCACCACCAUGCCCAGCUAAUUUUUUGUAUUUUUAGUAGAGACGGGGUUUCACCAUGUUGACCAGGAUGGUCUCAAUCUCUUGACCUCAUGAUCCACCCACCUCGGCCUCCCAAAGUGCUGGGAUUACAGGCUUGAGCCACUGUGCCCGGCCUCCAGUUUAUGUUUUUCAAAACCCAUUGUGGAGCCCAGGCAUGGUGGCUCACACCCAUCCCGACACUUUGGGAAGCCAAAGUUGGAGCCCAGGAGUUGGAGACCAGCCUGGGUAACAUAGUGAGACCCAGUCUCUAUAAAAUAAUAAUAAUAAUAAUAAUACUCACUCUGGCUGUUGUAUGGAGAGAAGCUGGGAAAGGAGCAGGGAGCUCACUUGGAAGAAUAUUACAUGACCCCACAACACACUGAAAGCUUGGAUUAGGGUAGAGGCAAUGAUGAUGUAGGAAAUGGUCACUUUUGGGAUUUCCCUGAAGAUAGAAUUGAGAGAACUUGCUGAUGGAUUAGAUGGGAGCUGCAGGUUGGGGAGGGAUCAAGGUUGACCUCUGGCUGGGCAUGGUGACUCAUGCCUGUAAUCCCAGCACUUUGGGAGGACAAGGCAAAUGGAUUGCUUGACAUGAGGAGUUCAAGACUAGCCUGGACAACCUGGUGAAACCCAUCUCUGCUAAAAAAUACAAAAAUUAGCCAGGCGUGGUGAUGUGUGCCUGUAAUCCCAGCUGCUCAGGCUGAAGCAUGAGAAUCACUUGAACCUGGGAAGUGGACGUUGCAAUGAACGAAGAUUUCACCACUGCCUUCCAGCCCAAGUGACAGAGUGAAAUCCUGUCUCAAAAAAUAAAAAAUAAGUUGACUUGUAUGUAUUUGCUUGAGCAAGUGUGUGAUGAUGGUGCCACUGAUACACAGGUGAAUGUGUUGGGGAAGAGAAGGGUCGGGGGGGGGCAUCGUGGAGUCUGCUGGCUGCUUAUCAAAACCCACCACCCACUUGAACAUGACCUGAAAUGCUCACAUCAGAACUAUAUUACAUGAGAGAAAAAGCAAUUUCUAUAAUCGUAAAACCACUGUAUUUUGUAGCUUCUUAUAGAAAUUCGUACCAGGAGUGGGAAACUAGAUAAAAGCCCUCAAAUAUGUGGCACUGGCUUAGCCAAUAGGUGGAGAGCAAGACAGAAACAGAUAUUAGAGGAUGGGAAGCUGGUGAACCUUGUUAAGCUGGGACAAAACAUUUAUUGCAAAUGUCACCUGUGAUCAUUUGGAAGACAGCCCACAUGCCUAUUGAGCCUGUAAUUCUAGAAAAAUGGUUGGAAAGGGCCAAAGCCAUUUGCAUGUGUUGGCUGCUUGAUGCUGCUUUUAGCAAAAUCAUAUAAGACAGAGAUUGGCCAGCUUGCAAGAAGCGACAGAAAUACAGAGAAUUCAGAAAACUGGUGUCCUUGGGGUUGGAAAAGCCAACUGGUUUUGUCCAGAGAGCAGGAGGUCAGACUGUCAUGGCUCAGAGCCUCUCCCAAAGCCCGUCUCUUAGGCCAAACUUUAAACCAAACAAAGAAAUCGCCCCUGUGGCAAAGUAUUAUAUUAACAGUAUUCCCUUGCUAUCCAAGUCUCAUUUAGGAUGUCCUUAGCAUAAACUUCAUUCUAUUUAUUAUUUUAUUUUUACUUGUAUUUUUAUUUUUGAGAUGGAGUCUUGCUCUGUCACACAGGCUGGAGUGCAGUGGUGCAAUCUCGGUUCACUGCAACCUCCACCUCCUGGGUUCAAGCAAUUCUUCUACCUCAGCCUCCUGAGCAGCUGGGAUUACAGGCAUGUACCACUAUGCCCGAUUAAUUUUUGUAUUUUUUGUAGAGACAG
Molecule: long non-coding RNA, 2939 nt
Organism: Callithrix jacchus (white-tufted-ear marmoset)
Lineage: Eukaryota; Metazoa; Chordata; Mammalia; Primates; Cebidae
Source: Ensembl